This 477-nucleotide ribosomal RNA is filed under the name uncultured bacterium. RNAcentral's name for it is "SSU rRNA". It matches the Rfam family "Bacterial small subunit ribosomal RNA", at positions 26 to 518 of the family's 1533-position model. The record is from RNAcentral.
AGGAUGAACGCUGGCGGCGUGCUUAACACAUGCAAGUCGAACGAUGAACCUCGCUUGCGGGGGGAUUAGUGGCGAACGGGUGAGUAACACGUGAGUAACCUGCCCUUAACUCUGGGAUAAGCCUUGGAAACGGGGUCUAAUACUGGAUAUUGACUUUACCUCGCAUGGGGUUUGGUUGAAAGAUUUAUUGGUUUUGGAUGGACUCGCGGCCUAUCAGCUUGUUGGUGAGGUAAUGGCUCACCAAGGCGACGACGGGUAGCCGGCCUGAGAGGGUGACCGGCCACACUGGGACUGAGACACGGCCCAGACUCCUACGGGAGGCAGCAGUGGGGAAUAUUGCACAAUGGGCGAAAGCCUGAUGCAGCGACGCCGCGUGAGGGAUGACGGCCUUCGGUUGUAAACCGUCUUUCAGUACGACGAAGCGAGAGUGACGGUAGGUACAGAAGAAGCACCGGCCAACUACGUGCCAGCAGCCGC